UGAUAGCAGAUCAGACCCCAGUUUAUCCUACAACAUGGCUCGGAGGCACUGACAGUAAACAGGAGGGGGAAUGGCUUUGGGCUGAUGGCUCACGUUUCUUGUUUUCAUACUGGUGCAAAGGAGAACCGAACAACCAUGGCAACCAGGAUUGCCUUGUAAUGAAUGACUUAGAAAAGAAAUGCUGGGAUGAUCAGCAGUGCAAUAAGAAGAAACCAUCUGUCUGCGUCACGAGCUGGUCAUUAUUCUGCUGAUACAAAAACAUCAAGCAUCUACGCAAAAAGCAGCGUAUUGCAAAUUUAUUCUGUCUUUAUCUCUCUGUUAUUGCUGUAAUGCUGCAUGAAAUGUGAAUCAAGAAUUGACAUAGUUAAAUA
This is a long non-coding RNA of Melanotaenia boesemani (Boeseman's rainbowfish), 371 nucleotides long. RefSeq lists it as uncharacterized. The transcript is spliced from 3 exons. NCBI's taxonomy places the organism in Eukaryota, Metazoa, Chordata, Actinopteri, Atheriniformes, Melanotaeniidae. The record is from RefSeq and is a predicted model, not a curated record.